UGGGGAAUAUUGCACAAUGGAGGAAACUCUGAUGCAGCGACGCCGCGUGAGUGAAGAAGUAUUUCGGUAUGUAAAGCUCUAUCAGCAGGGAAGAAAAUGACGGUACCUGACUAAGAAGCACUGGCUAAAUACGUGCC
RNAcentral lists this ribosomal RNA (137 nucleotides) under uncultured bacterium. RNAcentral describes it as "partial 16S ribosomal RNA". It matches the Rfam family "Bacterial small subunit ribosomal RNA", at positions 355 to 509 of the family's 1533-position model. The record is from RNAcentral.